CGGCCUUGACAUACUAAGAACUUUCCAGAGAUGGAUUGGUGCCUUCGGGAACUUAGAUACAGGUGCUGCAUGGCUGUCGUCAGCUCGUGUCGUGAGAUGUUGGGUUAAGUCCCGCAACGAGCGCAACCCUUUUCCUUAUUUGCCAGCGGGUCGAUGCCGGGAACUUUAAGGAGUACUGCCAGUGACAAACUGGAGGAAGGCGGGGACGACGUCAAGUCAUCAUGGCCCUUACGGCCAGGGCUACACACGUGCUACAAUGGUCGGUACAAAGGGUUGCUACCUCGCGAGAGGAUGCUAAUCUCAAAAAGCCGAUCGUAGUCCGGAUCGCAGUCUGCAACUCGACUGCGUGAAGUCGGAAUCGCUAGUAAUCGCGGAUCAGAAUGCCGCGGUGAAUACGUUCCCGGGCCUUGUACACACCGCCCGUCGCACCAUGGGAGUUUGUUGCACCAGAAGUAGGUAGUCUAACCGCAAGGAGGACGCUUACCACGGUGUGGCCGAUGACUGGGGUGAAGUCGUAACAAGGUAAGCGUAGAUGA
This 536-nucleotide ribosomal RNA is filed under the name uncultured bacterium. RNAcentral describes it as "bacterial SSU rRNA". It matches the Rfam family "Bacterial small subunit ribosomal RNA", at positions 976 to 1509 of the family's 1533-position model. The record is from RNAcentral.